Molecule: transfer RNA, 59 nt
Filed under: Clostridioides difficile
Lineage: Bacteria; Bacillati; Bacillota; Clostridia; Peptostreptococcales; Peptostreptococcaceae
Description: tRNA-Met
Rfam family: tRNA
About the family: Transfer RNA (tRNA) molecules are approximately 80 nucleotides in length. Their secondary structure includes four short double-helical elements and three loops (D, anti-codon, and T loops).
Source: RNAcentral
AGCUCAGUUGGUUAGAGCGCCCGGCUCAUAACCGGUAGGUCUGGGGUUCGAGUCCCUGA